AAUCAACGCUGGCGGCGUGCCUCAGACAUGCAAGUCGAACGCGAAAGUUCCCUUCGGGGGAUGAGUAGAGUGGCGCACGGGUGAGUAACACGUAGGUAAUCUACCUUCGGAUGGGGAACAACAACCGGAAACGGUUGCUAAUACCGCAUAAUGCAGCGGCACCUAAUGGUNACAGUUAGUUAAAGGCGGGGGAUACGAAAGACCUCGCGUCUGAAGGAGGAGCCUGCGGCGGAUUAGCAGUUGGUAGGGUAACGGCCUACCAAGGCUACGAUCCGUAGCCGGCCUGAGAGGGGCGGGUCGGCCACACUGACACUGACAUACGGGUCAGACUCCGUAC
This 337-nucleotide ribosomal RNA is filed under the name uncultured bacterium. Its description in RNAcentral is "bacterial SSU rRNA". It matches the Rfam family "Bacterial small subunit ribosomal RNA", at positions 32 to 342 of the family's 1533-position model. The record is from RNAcentral.